UACGGGGGGGGUAAGCGUUGUUCGGAAUUACUGGGCGUAAAGGGCUCGUAGGCGGCCAACUAAGUCAGACGUGAAAUCCCUCAGCUUAACUGGGGAACUGCGUCUGAUACUGGAUGGCUUGGAUUCGGGAGAGGAAAGCGGAAUUCCAGGUGUAGCGGUGAAAUGCGUAGAUAUCUGGAGGAACACCGGUGGCGAAGGCGGCAUUCUGGACCGACAUUGACGCUGAGGAGCGAAAGCCAGGGGAGCAAACGGG
This 253-nucleotide ribosomal RNA is filed under the name uncultured bacterium. RNAcentral describes it as "partial 16S ribosomal RNA". It matches the Rfam family "Bacterial small subunit ribosomal RNA", at positions 524 to 776 of the family's 1533-position model. The record is from RNAcentral.